This is a long non-coding RNA of Girardinichthys multiradiatus, 606 nucleotides long. RefSeq lists it as uncharacterized. NCBI's taxonomy places the organism in Eukaryota, Metazoa, Chordata, Actinopteri, Cyprinodontiformes, Goodeidae. The transcript is spliced from 3 exons. The record is from RefSeq and is a predicted model, not a curated record.
AGGUGCAUCUAAUCUGCUGAUUGCAGCCAGGGAGACAGGGUAGAGCAGACGUGCCAGAAUCAUAACAUUGCCACUGGUUCCUCUUGUUUGUUAACCUGACUGCUACCCUGUUUGCUUUCUGAGUCCAUACUCCUGUCAUUUUCCUGCUUAUGCUAUUCACCUGCAGUUCCUGUACCUGGUCAAUCUGUAAGUUUGUGCUUUAUUAAAUCCUUCUCAUCCUAUCUGCUACGUUCUGCAUUUGGGUCCUACCUCAACACUCAUCAUGACAAGAACAACAUGUAAAACUCUGCUGGCCUCACUUCAGUUAAGGUCGGUCUUCAAGAUUCAACAAUAAAAAGAUGUGUGACAAGUUCCAUCUGUAGGAGAGUUACAAGGGAGAAGAGGAGUGGGUAGAGAACCCACCCUCAUGCUGGAAACACCUUCCGAAAAGGAUCCAGGUGAAAGAGAGAGAUACAGCUUUUCCCAUAGAAUCACAAUGCCUGCCCAACUCAGCCUCAGCAGAAAGACUUGCCUUCCCCGGAGCUUUGAACAUACCCAGUCCGAUUGUCCUCAGACCCCGUGAUGACCAGCCAAACCAUUUACACUGCUCUUCAAUAAAGAUUGUUA